RNAcentral lists this ribosomal RNA (252 nucleotides) under uncultured bacterium. RNAcentral describes it as "partial 16S ribosomal RNA". It matches the Rfam family "Bacterial small subunit ribosomal RNA", at positions 524 to 776 of the family's 1533-position model. The record is from RNAcentral.
UACGUAGGGUGCAAGCGUUAAUCGGAAUACUGGGGCGUAAAGCGUGCGCAGGCGGUUAUGUAAGACAGGUGUGAAAUCCCCGGGCUCAACCCGGAAAUGGCAUUGGAAACUGCGUGGCUAGAGGGUUGGAGGGGGGACUGGAAUACUGGUGUAGCAGUGAAAUGCGUAGAUAUCAAGUGGAACACCAGUGGCGAAGGCGAGUCCCUGGACAACACCUGACACUGAGGCACGAAAGCUAGGGGAGCAAACAGG